CUGCAUUUAAAAUUCGGAAAAACCAUUCAAAAUUACAAAAGAGUAGAAAAACGCUUUUCGAGCGAACUAUAAUAGCUCCCUUAGAUUUCGUCAUGGAGAAAAAAGAUCGAAAGAAAUGAUGACCGAAUGAUAAGACAGAUAAGAUAUUUCAGCUGAUUUUGGAGUUGCUCAAAUCGAUGCCUAUCGUUAAGAUAUAUUUAUAGUUUUUAACAGAAAAAUUGCUUGCUGUGGCAAUAGUUGUAAGGGAACUGAAGGAUGUGCAUUCUCUUUUGAAAGUGUCGUGUUGCACAGAUAUUUGUCUUAGAGAUGCAGAACUAUCAAUUAGAGCAUCACUCAAAUGGCCACAGAUUUCACAAUCUCUAAUUGGACCAUUGGAUUGGCGCUUCCUAUCGCACCCCACACUGCUGCACUGGCCGGCAAGCAGUCAAUCAAUCAAUCAUUGCCUCGUUAAGCAGAACUUUUUUGCAGCUAAACAUUUCAAUCUUUUUCGCUCUGAUGCCACUGAAUCGGGUAAGUAGAUACAUCUCGUUCUUGCUUCAUUUUCUUCA
This is a long non-coding RNA of Drosophila obscura, 548 nucleotides long. RefSeq lists it as uncharacterized. The record is from RefSeq and is a predicted model, not a curated record. The transcript is spliced from 6 exons. Lineage: Eukaryota; Metazoa; Arthropoda; Insecta; Diptera; Drosophilidae.